GAGUUUGAUCGUGGCUCAGGAUGAACGCUGGCGGCGUGCCUAACACAUGCAAGUCGAACGGGGCCAGCGGCGGAAGGGGAUGGUUUACCAGACCCGGAAGGCGCGGGCCUUAGUGGCGGACGGGUGAGUAACGCGUGGGGAACCUGCCCCGUACCGGGGGAUAACACCUGGAAACAGGUGCUAAUACCGCAUAACAGAAGGGGACGCAUGUUCCUUUCUUGAAAACUCCGGUGGUACGGGAUGGACCCGCGUCUGAUUAGCUGGUUGGCGGGGUAACGGCCCACCAAGGCGACGAUCAGUAGCCGGCCUGAGAGGGCGGACGGCCACAUUGGGACUGAGACACGGCCCAAACUCCUACGGGAGGCAGCAGUGGGGAAUAUUGCACAAUGGGGGAAACCCUGAUGCAGCGACGCCGCGUGAGUGAAGAAGCGUUUCGGCGCGUAAAGCUCUGUCAGCGGGGAAGAAACACGGUUCGCGAGAGCCGCGGACGGUACCCGACCAAGAAGCCCCGGCUAACUACGUGCCAGCAGCCGCAGUAAG
Molecule: ribosomal RNA, 540 nt
Filed under: uncultured microorganism
Description: bacterial SSU rRNA
Rfam family: Bacterial small subunit ribosomal RNA
Source: RNAcentral